UUCUCAGCCUUUUGGUUAAGAUCAAGUGUAACCUUUCUUUUAUCAAUCUA
This 50-nucleotide small nuclear RNA is filed under the name Cervus elaphus hippelaphus. The record is from RNAcentral. Lineage: Eukaryota; Metazoa; Chordata; Mammalia; Artiodactyla; Cervidae.